Molecule: long non-coding RNA, 1146 nt
Organism: Peromyscus eremicus (cactus mouse)
Lineage: Eukaryota; Metazoa; Chordata; Mammalia; Rodentia; Cricetidae
Exons: 3
Source: RefSeq, a predicted model, not a curated record
CUACCAUUUCUGGCUGUCCCUCUCUGCUCCUUCCUCAGAACUUAAGCUAGGCUGAGAAAUAUCAUGCAUGAAUGCCUGAGUUUGAGCCUGCCUAUGCGCAUGCCUGUCGGGUAGAGACAAGAGUCCAGUGCUCUCUUCACUGCCUUCUCCACGGUUUUGAGUCAUUUCCUGGAGGGAAGAAGACCCUCUAAACUAGGGACAUCCAUGCUCCAAAAGGCACAGUCCUGCUCUCCCAGACCCCUUACCUGUGUCUUUCGGCAGCAGCUAGCUGCCCAACCGAGCCAAGGCGAAAAGUGCUCGGAAUAACACCAUGCUCAGAGAAACAGAAGGAAGUUUCCAGAUGACGCCCUCUGCCAGGCUCCUGUGAAGAGCAGGAAGCCCCAGACGACCUUCUCCAGUCUCCAAAUACCCAGAAAUACCAUCCCACCUAGCCAUUGCUGGUGCUUAACCCUCACCAUGUCCAGUUUCUUUCUUUGCGUGUAGGGCAGCCUCCUCUGACCUCUGGGCUGCAGCUUAUCUCUGGGGUAGCGACUCCAGAUUCCCAGCAGUGCACGGUGGCUCGGUUUUAUCAGAAGUAUGCCUCAGAGUGGGCAGCAGUGAGCAGGGACUGUGGCCUAACGACUAAGGAUAUGUUUUAAGAAGCGAUUGUCGGGCUGGGGAGACCGGUCAGUUGGUGAAACCCUUGCCAUACAAGCGUGAGGACUGGGAGUGAAUCCCCAGAACACACGUGAAACCAGGAGCAGUGGUGUGCAUCUGCGGUUCCAACGCUUCUGAGGAGAGAUGAAAGGUGGACACAGGGGGUCCUAGGCUGUUCUCAGGCAGCACCCGGAAACAGGAGACCCUGUCAAAGGAGGUGGGAGGGGACUUUGUCCCAAGGUAGUUCUCCCACUUCCAAAAAAUGUCCAUGACACACAAACACCCAAGUUCACACACAUGAGUGUGCACGCUCACACACACACACACACAUCAUACACAAAAAAAUAAGUAGAAACAAUUAUUGGCCAGAAGUGUGGCCCUGUGGAGGGGCACAUCAUGCCUGGGGCUCUGAGUUCAGUGUCCAGCACAACACAAAAAGUGGGUGAAAAAAACAUUCGCUUUAUUGUUGACCAUUUUACCUGUAUCCAUAAAUAAACUUUCACAAAUGAA